This is a long non-coding RNA of Alosa sapidissima (American shad), 770 nucleotides long. RefSeq lists it as uncharacterized. The record is from RefSeq and is a predicted model, not a curated record. NCBI's taxonomy places the organism in Eukaryota, Metazoa, Chordata, Actinopteri, Clupeiformes, Clupeidae. The transcript has 3 exons.
CUAACAAACUUAAGAAACUGAGUUGACUCAACUUGUAUAAUUAAGUAUCUAGUAAGAGAGAAGUUUCCCAAAGUUCACUGAACUUCUUAGUCAAGUUGGCGCAAGCGCAUUGUUUCCUAACGUAUCAAGGGGACUUGUGGCAUUGCACGCUUGUCAGGAUGACAGAAGCCUUCCCUACCUGUAUGCAGCUGAGCAGAUGACCAUACAACAUCAUUGUCAAAGACUCUUCUGUUGCUAUGCAAUGUAAGCAGUGUCCAUGUAGAGACCCUCCUGACCCAUUACAGGCUUCAUCACGGUCACCAGGGAAAAUGCUGGCCUUGCCUCUACCCCCAGUGUGUGUGUAUUUUUAAGACUUCAGGAUACAGAUGCUGAGGAGGACUACUAGAGGCAUGAAAAUUGGAAUCUUGACCGUCAUUGAAGACGACCUCGUCAUGAAAGCACCGGACACUGUCACCAAUAUCGCCAUCGCCCUGGAAGAGACUGUUGUUCUACAGGACAUCAAGGAUCUUCCAUCUGCACUGGCCUACCUAUUCGGACUCUUGCAUGGCAUUAAUAUGUUACCCGAAAGAACUGAAAUAUACGUUCGAGGUGUUGCAAAAGAUUUUCCUGGGCCUUGAUGCUGGCAGUUGUUCUGCAAGAACGCAGUCUUUCAAGAUGAAGCUGCAUGCCCUUGGGGAUUUAACAUAGGGGUGCCAAUACUUAUGACCCCUGUAUUUUAAGAAAGAACAUUUAUUUAUUUAUGAUACAUUAUUCAUUCACAAAGAAAAUUG